AGAGCUGUAGCUUAGUGGCAGAGCAUGUGCUUUGUAUACGGAAGGUUCUGGGUUCAAUUCCUGGCAUCUCUC
Molecule: non-coding RNA, 72 nt
Organism: Podarcis lilfordi (Lilford's wall lizard)
Lineage: Eukaryota; Metazoa; Chordata; Lepidosauria; Squamata; Lacertidae
Source: the annotation of a GenBank genome assembly